Non-coding RNA from Salmo salar (Atlantic salmon), 54 nucleotides. NCBI's taxonomy places the organism in Eukaryota, Metazoa, Chordata, Actinopteri, Salmoniformes, Salmonidae. The record is from Rfam.
AAUAUAUAAUUUUGUAAGUCGCUCUGGAUAAGAGCGUCUGCUAAAUGACUUAAA